GUCCACGCCGUAAACGAUGGGCACUAGGUGUCGGGGGUAUCCACUCCCUCGGUGCCGCCGCUAACGCAUUAAGUGUCCCGCCUGGGAAGUACGGUCGCAAGAUUAAAACUCAAAGGAAUUGACGGGGGCCCGCACAAGCGGUGGAGCAUGUGGUUCAAUUCGAUGCUACGCGAAGAACCUUACCUGGGUUUGACAUCUGGCGAAUUUCCUGGAAACAGGAAAGUGCCCGCAAGGGAACGCCAAGACAGGUGCUGCAUGGCUGUCGU
Molecule: ribosomal RNA, 266 nt
Filed under: uncultured bacterium
Lineage: Bacteria
Description: partial 16S ribosomal RNA
Rfam family: Bacterial small subunit ribosomal RNA
Source: RNAcentral